Molecule: non-coding RNA, 476 nt
Filed under: Drosophila virilis
Lineage: Eukaryota; Metazoa; Arthropoda; Insecta; Diptera; Drosophilidae
Description: Eukaryotic large subunit ribosomal RNA
Rfam family: Eukaryotic large subunit ribosomal RNA
Source: Rfam by way of RNAcentral
CAACCUCAACUCAUAUGGGACUACCCCCUGAAUUUAAGCAUAUUAAUUAGGGGAGGAAAAGAAACUAACAAGGAUUUUCUUAGUAGCGGCGAGCGAAAAGAAAUCAGUUCAGCACUAAGUCACUUUGUCUAUAUGGCAAAUGUGAGAUGCAGUGUACGGAACAUCAACAUUCUAGUAUGAGAAGUUAACGAUUUAAGUCCUUCUUAAAUGAGGCCAUUUACCCAUAGAGGGUGCCAGGCCCGUAUAACGUUAAUGAUUACUAGAUGGUGUUUCCAAAGAGUCGUGUUGCUUGAUAGUGCAGCACUAAGUGGGUGGUAAACUCCAUCUAAAACUAAAUAUAACCAUGAGACCGAUAGUAAACAAGUACCGUGAGGGAAAGUUGAAAAGAACUCUGAAUAGAGAGUUAAAUAGUACGUGAAACUGCUUAGAGGUUAAGCCCGAUGAACCUGAAUAUCCGGUAUGGAAAAUUCAUCAUU